Molecule: long non-coding RNA, 6392 nt
Filed under: Lynx pardinus (Iberian lynx)
Lineage: Eukaryota; Metazoa; Chordata; Mammalia; Carnivora; Felidae
Source: RNAcentral
GCGGGAAAGUUGAACUUCUAAAAGUUUACGCAAGUCCACUGAAGGAGGAGGGGGAGGUGGCUCCCGGCACCAGGUAAGUCGGACGUUCGCGGGGGCUGGGGUGAGGAGGGGAGAGGCCGGGAUCUAGGAGCGGGCACCUCAGUCCCGCUUCCCCGACAUCCACGCGUCCCGGGUCCCCAAGAUGCCAGCCUCAGUCAGAUAGUGGAACUACACUUCCCAGGCCGGCUGCGCGGCGAGCUAGCGCGGAACGAGGGGAAGGUUUGCCAUGAAGCCUGCUGGGAUUCGUAGUUCCCGAUUCUCUAAAGGCUUGAGAAGCUUGGUAUCUGCCUUCAGAACCCAGAAGUCGGAGCCCCAAGUUCUCUUCUCUCUCAGACUGAAGAAUCCAGAUUCCCCAUCCCCCUUUUCCGAAAACUCAAGAGUCCAGCUCCCAGUCCCUUCCUCCCUUAGACCCACGAAUCCGGGUCCCCAGCCUCUUCCUCUCCAAGCAUCAAGGAGUCUUCCUCCUCAUCCUUCUCUCUCCGAGGACUCAAGAAUCUGGGUCCCCAGGCCCUAACUCCCCUAAAGGACUUAGAAAUUCGGACUCUCGGCCCCUUCCUCCCUUGGGGACUCACGAGUCCUGAUCCUCUCCUUAUUCAGGGAUUAGGCGUUUGGGCCCCAAUCCUCCAAUGCAGUGCAACCCUGGAGUCCAUCCCCCAGCUCCCUCUUUCACAGGUGCCCCCAUGGCAGGCUCGGAAGAGCUGGGGCUCCGGGAGGACACGCUGAGAGUCCUAGCGGCCUUCUUUAGGCGAGGUGAGGCCGCCGGGUCCCCCAUUCCAACCCCACCCAGGUAAGAGGAGCUGCCCUCCUCCCUCAGGGGCCUGCAUUUGGGGCGGGGCCCCCUCUGACUCUUGCGCCUGGUCUCAGCCUGCCUGCACUCCCCUCUCUUUAUAUCUGGCUCUAUUCCUUGUCCCUGGGGUUGCAGUGAGAGGCCUUCAGUGGGAGGAAAAAGGGACUGCUUGCAAGGAGCCUCCGGGGUCACUCUCUGAGGUCCCCUUCCCCAGGAGUCCUGCCCAGGAGGAGCCAACAGAUUUCCUGAGCCGUCUUCGAAGAUGUCUUCCCUGCCCCCUGGGGCGAGGAGCAGUUCCCCCUGAGUCCCCUCGGCCUUGCUCCCUGCCCCUCCGCCCAUGCUAUGUUUCAGAGCCUGGUAAGAGAUUUUCCCUAGAUCACCCAUGAACUGGCAGGGCCAGGAGCUUUGAUUCUUAAAGCUGGAAAGGAUGGAAAGGAUGAGCUAGUCCAAGAUCACUCAGCUCAGAGGGGGAGCUGAGUGGGGACUACCCUCACCAUUCUGUGCUUCCCCUGCCCCCAGUUACAUUGCUGUCUGUCCAUUCUGUGAGCUGGCUUCAGGAGAACUUUUGGUCCCUUUCUAUCUGUUAUCUCCCUCCUUCCAUGCACGCUUCCCUCUCCCGAGGACUUUGUAGCCCACCAGUAUCCCCAGUAGGGAGGCAGGAGACCUGGCAUUGAAACACAAUUCCCUGGAUAUUUAGUUACAGGUCUCUGAGAAAUUCCUUUUCUUCCUUGCUCCUAUUUUUCUCCACUAGCAAAGUAGGAAUGAGGGGAGUGGGGGGAGGUGUCAUUGGACUUGAUCAAGAGUAACCAGAAGGUUUCUUUCCUCUCGUAUGUGAGCCUGGAUAGACUAGUAAUGGCUACUGGGAGAGCUAGCUUGAAAAGGAUUUCGCAGCUGGGGAGAAGAGUCCUGUGACCAGCUGAUGACACUUGAAACCAGCAAGGGAUAGAGUGAUAAUAGCUGGAGCACCCUGUGUUUGCUUUCCUUGGUUGGGAUAAUCUUCAAAGUCUAGUUCAGCUCUAACAUUCUCAGUCCAGUUUGAGGCGGGGGGGACACCAUAAAAUGGAAAGUACAAAGGUCUUUUGCCAAGUGUGCUCACUGGGCCUCAGUUUACCCCAUUGUGAAAUGGAAAUCGUUGCUACCUGGCAAGGCGGUGGGGACACGGAGAGAAUCCAUAACUUCCCCAUGUCCCGGAGAUCCAUCAUUGGCUCUUUUCACCCCAGGCCCAGCUACUCCGGAUUUCUAUGCUCUGGUGGCCCAGCGGCUAGAACAGCUGGUCCAAGAGCAACUGAGAUCCCCACCUAGCCCAGGUGAGGUACACAGGGGCCCUGGAGAAGGAGGAGGGUGGAAGGGUUGGCAGAGUUCUGCUCCCAGCCGAAUUCUCUUCUGUCUGCCCAGAGUUACAGGGUCCCCCACCCACAGAGAAGGAAGCCCUGCUGCGGAAGCUGGUGGCCCUGCUGGAGGAAGAGGCAGACGUCAUCAACCAGAAGGUGAUGGGCGGUCUCUUCCACCCUUAGCUAAGAUAGGAAUCGAGGGAUGGUUGGGCCCUGGGAUCCAAAGCUGGAUCUGUAUUCUCUUUAGAUGGUCAAGUGAGGAGAGGGUGGGACUAGGCUUCAGUGAAGGGUUUGCAAUCAAGUCCACACUCAUUCUGCUCACAGCACCACAGGCCAAUAAGUCGAGAGGCAAGAUGUUGGGGUAAGGAAAGUGACUUUAUUUGGAAAAGGAGGAAACCGGGCAGACUACCCACCCAAACAGCAAUCUCCCUCAGCAUGAGAUUGGGCCUCUUUUAUGUUGGGAUUGGGGGGGAAGCAGGAGGGGGUUGGGAGUCAAAGGGUGACUGACAUCUGUAGAUAACAGAGGGAGCUUGUGUAACUGUUUUUUGUCCUUGGUCAGUUGAUCUUUGUGUACAGGAAACUGGUCAUGUCAUUCCUGUAAAUCUCAUACAUAGCAUGGUCAUUUCUGUAGGUACCUUCCUUUUGAAAAAAAAGUUGAGGGCGCCUGGGUGGGUCAGUUGGUUAAAUCAGGUCAUGAUUUCACGGUUUGUGAGUUGGAGCCCCACGUCGGGCUGUAUGCUGACAGCGUAGAGCCUGGAGCCUGCUUCGGAUUCUGUGUUCCCCUCUCUCUCUGCCCCUCCCCUACUCAUGCUGUGUCUCUCUUUCUCAAAAUUGAAUAAAUGUUAAAAAAUUUUUAAAAAUUUAUUUGUUUUGAGAGAGAGAGAGAGAGAGCACAAGUGGGGGAAGAUGUGAGAGAGAGAGAGAGAGAGAGAGAGAGAGAGAGAGAGAAUCCCCAACAGGCUCCUCUCACGGGGCUCGAACCCAUGAACUGUGAGAUCAUGACCGGAGCCAAAAUCAAGAGUCAGAUGCUUAACUGACUGAGCUACCCAGGGACCCCUGUAGGUACCUUCCUUAUCUCCUAUGGUGAGGCAGAUUUCGGGUAAAAUAUGGUCUUUGCAAAUCUUAGCUGCAACGUGCCUACGUGCAUGGCUAAGCAGAAGUUUCUAAAUUAAAGGUCACAGCAGUAAGGGAAAUAGAAGCAAUAUGGAGUCAGAUGUGCUAAGUUUCUCCACUACGUGUUGAGCGACAGUUAGUUAGGGUCAGGAUAGUGUUUUAAACUGGUUUGCAUUCAUCGCCAGAGGGGCGUGGCCUAGAGAGAAGAGGUGUGGCCAUUCCAAACUAGAUCUCUGAAACUGAGACCAGUUAAGGAGUUAGGGACUGUAUGGUGGUGGGAGGGGGGUUGGUUUGGAGAGGGCUGUCUGAAAUCUGAAACCCUGGGGGCGCCUGACUGGCUCAGUCGGAAGAGCAUGCAUCUCUUGAUCUCGGGAUUGUGAGUUUGAGCCCCAUUUUGGGUGUAGAGACUACUUAAAAAUAAAACUUAAAAAAUCUGAAGCCCUUGUUAACUAUAGAGGGACAUGACUUAGAAUGUGAAGGGAAAUGACUGCGGAGGAGCUCUGGCUUAUGACUGUCACGGACCUUGAUUGGCUCAGGAACUUGGGCAGUGUAUAAUCCUGUAAUAUUGUAUGGUGGAAGGCAAGGUUGCAGGCACUAGCCUGGCCUCAGGUGCUCUCAGGGAACCCCUAAGGGGGCGUGGCUAUAAGAUUAACAUUCUAGAACUCGGCUAAGAGGGACUUGGCCCUCAUUGGCUGUCCAGGCCUUGCCUUAACUUCUCGUCCACUUUCCUAGGAGUGGUUUGGCAGAGAUCAGAGGCUGGUUUAUGAUUGGCUGGUGUGAUGGAUGGGGCGUGGCUCACGUUAUUAGUAGCAAACGCACUCGUUUCAAGAAGCCACGCCUCCUAUCCUCCUAUUGGCUGGCCACGGGGGCACAACCGAGGCAGACCCGGCCUCUUCUCUUCCCCACCCCACAGCUGGCCUCGGACCCCGCCCUGCGCGGAAAGCUGGCCCGCCUCUCCUCGGGCUCCUUCGCCCGCCUAGUGGAGCUGUUCUCCUGCCGGGAGAGCAGCCCUCUGCCCGGUCGCGCACGCCCCUCCUUGCCCUGUCCCGGGCCCCCUCCGCCUUCCCCGGAGCCCCUGGCCCGCCUGGCCCUGGCCAUGGAGCUGAGCCGCCGCGUGGCCGGGCUGGGGGGCACCCUGGCCGGACUCAGCGUGGAGCACGUGCACAGCUUCGCGCCCUGGAUCCAGGCCCACGGGGGCUGGGUGAGCUGCCAAAGCUUCUCUUGGCCUCCCUUUACCCACUUGUAACUUGUGUCUGUGUGGUAGGGGGGUGGCUUCUUCGCCUUCUUUUCAGACCUCACGCGUGUUCUCGGAGCCCUACUAUUCAUCUGUUCUGUGUCCAUUGCGCGCCUUCUGUACACCAGUAGUAGGUGAUCCGUGCAGACCCCAUGCCUAGCUUAAACCAUGCUGGCAAACGUUAACAGUUAUGAGUGGGAAGCAAGUAAGGCCCCUUCCUGGGCCUUGGUUUCCUCAUCUGUCAAACGGGGAGAGUAGAAGUACCUGUCCCAGAGGGUUAUCGUCAAGACUAAAAUGGGAACAUCUUUGGCACCCUGUAGGCAUUUGCUUGAUUACCUGGUGACUGCUUCUCUGACACUGCCUGCCAGAACGCACUUGCCUGGAUAGCCCCCUGCCUCGUUUCCUCUGCUCCCUUCGGGGGUUACCCGCAGUGAGGCCUCCCUGGGUCCUCAUUUAAAGCUGAGGCCACCUCCAUACCCUCCCACCCACUUCCUUUCCUUCUUUGUUGCUUUACCUCCUUCUAUAGGACAGCUGCUUCCAGAUGGCAGAAGUCACUUGUUUGACUUAUUAUUUCCUUUUAUUUGUUGUUUUCUCUUGCCCCUGACGUAUCAGCUUCACAAGACCCGGGAAUCUUAGCAACCUUACUCACUGCUUUAAAUCCAGUGUCAGGCUCAGAGCUGGAUUGGGCUCCAGUGUGCUGGCAGUGUGACCUUGGCAACUGUCCCCAGCUACCUGAGCAUCAGUCCCCCCACCCCCCGGCCCCUGCCCAACGGGCACCGUUCACUUACCUACCUCUUGGCUAUGGGGAUUCAGUGACAGAACGAUGUGUGCCCUGCUCUCAGAAUGUAACCAUUGCCUCACAGAGUGGCAGGAGCUGGCCAGAUGUGUUUGAGGAGCCAGUAGAGAGAGGAGGCCAGUAGCGCUUCAGGAGGGUGAGCGAAGGGAUGACAACAGAAGGGGCGACCAGAUCCUGCGGGGGCCUUGUGAGCUUGGGGCCCCCUAGAGCCCUCCGGGCAGAGGGACGCGAGCACACUUAGGUGUUAACCUGCGCCCUCUGGCGGCCGCCUGGGGGAAUACUGUAGAGGGCGAGCCGGAAGUAGGGAGUUCUAGGGAGUUCGGAGGAGGUAGGUGACUGAGCUGGCUCAGGGAGGAGAUGAGGGUGGAGGGGACAGUGGAUACCCGUGUCUGGAGCUCGGUGCCGAAGCUUGUUUGUUAUGCGAAAUUGUUUUUAUUUUUUGGCCGCGUGCACCGCCAAGGACUUUAGUGGAAUGAUUCCACUUAAUCCCCACAACCACCUCAUGGGAUUUGGAUCUUUUCCUGCUUUUAUGGAGACUCAGGGAAAGUCCCUCAUGCAGAGGACGGGAAUUAGGACUUUGACACAAAGCCAAGGCUCUUAAUUGUUAAAACCCCAGGACUGCUCCCCUUCUCUGAGUCUCUGUUCCCUGUCUCUCUGUCUACUCUCCACCCUGGGGCUUUGUUUUCCUUCCCUUUUUCUAGGACUCCGUCCCCAUCCACCCAGGGGUCUCUGAUCCUUUCUUUGGAUCCCUGUCCACCCGCCCUGUCUGGUUCCUUGCCUUCCCUGUCUCUGCUCCCGCUGGGCUGGCGUAGAUGCCAUGGUGAAUGGAGGGCAGGCUCUUCGCGUGAAUGCUCACGGGUUCUUCCAUUUUUCCCCUCCAGGAGGGCAUCCUGGCCAUUUCACCCGUGGACUUGAACUUACCCCUGGACUGAGAUCUUCCUCAGAAGCUGCUACCAGAUUAGACCUCACGUCUCUAUGCUCUUCCUGUGCUUUGCCAAACCUUCCUGUUCCACUCAGGGUUGUGGGGUGGGUUGCCCUGCCUGUUUCUGCCAAAAAGAAAUUGUUUUAAAUUUUUUCACAUUAAAGACUUUU